CUAUGAGAUGGAAUUUCAGGGCAAAGUUUUUUUAAAUUUAAUAAUUACAGUUAUUUUAAUUUGUGAAGAAACAAUUAUAUAAAUUAAGGACAAGAAGACCCUAAGAAUUUAAGAAUUCUUAUGUUACUUAAAUAUAAAAUAGGAAUUCUUAGUUGGGGCAACUAAAAAACAUUAUAAACUUUUUUUCUUUAAAAUGACCCAUUAUUAAUGAUAAUAUGAUUAAAUACUC
This 229-nucleotide ribosomal RNA is filed under the name Dermacentor reticulatus. RNAcentral describes it as "partial large subunit ribosomal RNA". Lineage: Eukaryota; Metazoa; Arthropoda; Arachnida; Ixodida; Ixodidae. The record is from RNAcentral.